AGUAAGCACACUAGUCUUAUCUAAUAGUAUAGGAUAUGUAAUCGCAUGUUUGAAAAUAAUAAUCUAGACAGAGAUCACAAUGAGUAGAGAAUGAUUGUCAUACAUUAGUCCUUGAAUCCAUUGAAAUACAUGGCAUUUGAUCCACCUUGAUGGCAAGACCCAACUAGCAUAAGCCCUCAAGGCUUACAAAGUUGAAGAUUUG
Molecule: long non-coding RNA, 202 nt
Filed under: Olea europaea (common olive)
Lineage: Eukaryota; Viridiplantae; Streptophyta; Magnoliopsida; Lamiales; Oleaceae
Description: long non-coding RNA (OEUR_LNC006553)
Source: RNAcentral